Molecule: ribosomal RNA, 421 nt
Filed under: Enterococcus faecium
Lineage: Bacteria; Bacillati; Bacillota; Bacilli; Lactobacillales; Enterococcaceae
Description: bacterial SSU rRNA
Rfam family: Bacterial small subunit ribosomal RNA
Source: RNAcentral
UUGGCAUGGAGAAAGUCUGACCGAGCACGCCGCGUGAGUGAAGAAGGUUUUCGGAUCGUAAAACUCUGUUGUUAGAGAAGAACAAGGAUGAGAGUAACUGUUCAUCCCUUGACGGUAUCUAACCAGAAAGCCACGGCUAACUACGUGCCAGCAGCCGCGGUAAUACGUAGGUGGCAAGCGUUGUCCGGAUUUAUUGGGCGUAAAGCGAGCGCAGGCGGUUUCUUAAGUCUGAUGUGAAAGCCCCCGGCUCAACCGGGGAGGGUCAUUGGAAACUGGGAGACUUGAGUGCAGAAGAGGAGAGUGGAAUUCCAUGUGUAGCGGUGAAAUGCGUAGAUAUAUGGAGGAACACCAGUGGCGAAGGCGGCUCUCUGGUCUGUAACUGACGCUGAGGCUCGAAAGCGUGGGGAGCAAACAGGAUAGA